AUAACGCCUCGCUAUGCCACAUCCCCACGGAACUCAGCAGUGAUAAAUCUUAAGCAAUAAGCGCUCUCCUCCAGCUUGACUUAGUUAUGGUGAUUAAAGCCGGUAAACUUCGUGCCAGCCACCGCGGUUACACGACGGGCUUAAAAUAAUAGAAUUCGGCGUAAAACGUGGCUAGAGAUCUCACAUGAGACCGGAAAAAAGACAAAGAUGUAAAAUUCCAAAACUUUUUAAGAAGACCAAUAGGUCUCACAAAACUUGACCCACGAAAGCUAAGAAACAAACUGGGAUCAGAUACCCUACUAUGCUUAGCCAUAAACCUAGGCACAACAUAACAUGGAUGCCCGCCAGAGAACUACAAGUGAAACUUAACUCAAAGGACUUGACGGUUCCCCAUAUCAGCCUAGAGGAGCCUGUCCUAUAAUCGACGAUCCACGAUAAACCUCACCCUCCCUUGCUUAACCCAGCCUAUAUACCGCCGUCGCCAGCUCACCUCAUGAGAGAUGUAAAUUGGGCUAAAAGGUCCUACCACAAAAACGUCAGGUCAACGUGUAGCUUAUGGGGGGGAAGAGAUGGGCUACAUUCUCUAAAUUAGAGAAUUACACAAGGAAAUAUGAAAUUAAAACCAGUAAGGUGGAUUUAAGU
This 642-nucleotide ribosomal RNA is filed under the name Eublepharis macularius. Its description in RNAcentral is "partial 12S ribosomal RNA". It matches the Rfam family "Bacterial small subunit ribosomal RNA", at positions 324 to 1293 of the family's 1533-position model. The record is from RNAcentral. Lineage: Eukaryota; Metazoa; Chordata; Lepidosauria; Squamata; Eublepharidae.